UGCUAGAGCAUGCGCAGAGUCGCAAUGAUUAUCUUCAAAAGGAGAAUGCUGCUGAUUUUCUGAAAGAGAAUGAUGAACUUCAAAAUCUGAGAGUUAUUCUUCAAAAGAAAUAUUCAAUUCUUCUUGGAUUUGGGGAGAGAAUGAAUUGGGCAAGUUUAAGUGAAGAUCUACAGAUAGAGAUAUUAGUUCGUCUACCGAAAAAAUCAUUGAUGCGUUACAAAAGUGUUCAACGAUCUUGGAACAUUCUAUUUGAAACUCCUUCCUUUGUCAAUAAGAGGAUGUUGCACAAUUCUCACAAUGGUCGUGCUGCAAAUGAAUCAUUCAAGUUUACAUACCCCAAAAGGAGUAGAUACCCGAAAAGGAGAUCUUGGGUAAAA
Long non-coding RNA from Medicago truncatula (barrel medic), 377 nucleotides. RefSeq lists it as uncharacterized. NCBI's taxonomy places the organism in Eukaryota, Viridiplantae, Streptophyta, Magnoliopsida, Fabales, Fabaceae. The transcript is spliced from 3 exons. The record is from RefSeq and is a predicted model, not a curated record.